This 366-nucleotide long non-coding RNA is filed under the name Brassica rapa (field mustard). RNAcentral's name for it is "long non-coding RNA (BRAP_LNC008540)". Lineage: Eukaryota; Viridiplantae; Streptophyta; Magnoliopsida; Brassicales; Brassicaceae. The record is from RNAcentral.
UCUAAUCCUCCAUCGCAGCCGCCUAGCCGAUCGUCCGUCCGUCCUAUCUGUCCAAACCGAUCAAAAACCAAACCUCAGUCAAGCCAUCCGUGUAGUCUGAAUCCCAGCCUGCAACAUUUGGUAUCAGAGCUCAAGCUCCUGAAUCUGGUGAUAUCUUAUCCUUGCAUCAUAUCUUAUUGCAUUUGUUCACCAAUUAAAAUCAAUAAAAAAAAAAAAAAUUCAUAGUGUUGCAUUUUCUGUCCGAUUUUGAAUUGCUUGUUCUUGGUUUUAAAACCAGAGAUAGGCACGAAAAGGAUACCUCAUUAUCUUGUUUGAUUCAUUUAGAAAACUCAAAAAAAAAUUUCCCUUGUUUGUAUUAAGUUGUCU